This 253-nucleotide ribosomal RNA is filed under the name Flintibacter butyricus. RNAcentral describes it as "partial 16S ribosomal RNA". It matches the Rfam family "Bacterial small subunit ribosomal RNA", at positions 524 to 776 of the family's 1533-position model. Lineage: Bacteria; Bacillati; Bacillota; Clostridia; Eubacteriales. RNAcentral also lists the same sequence under 1 other name. The record is from RNAcentral.
UACGUAGGUGGCAAGCGUUGUCCGGAUUUACUGGGUGUAAAGGGCGUGCAGCCGGGAAUGCAAGUCAGAUGUGAAAUCCAUGGGCUUAACCCAUGAACUGCAUUUGAAACUGUAUUUCUUGAGUACUGGAGAGGCAAUCGGAAUUCCUAGUGUAGCGGUGAAAUGCGUAGAUAUUAGGAGGAACACCAGUGGCGAAGGCGGAUUGCUGGACAGCAACUGACGGUGAGGCGCGAAAGUGUGGGGAGCAAACAGG